ACUAGACUUUGGAGCCAUUCUUCCCACCUACUCGACCCCCUGGUCGAGUAUCCUCAUCGCAGGCCACUCGAUGACGCCACUCGACCCCCUGGUCGAGUAUCACUUCGCCACACCACCUGACCACACUCGGCCGUUCACUCUACCAAGUUACUCGACCCCCUGGUCGAGUA
RNAcentral lists this small RNA (170 nucleotides) under Arabidopsis thaliana (thale cress). RNAcentral describes it as "ATSL092200". Lineage: Eukaryota; Viridiplantae; Streptophyta; Magnoliopsida; Brassicales; Brassicaceae. The record is from RNAcentral.